RNAcentral lists this ribosomal RNA (497 nucleotides) under uncultured bacterium. RNAcentral describes it as "partial 16S ribosomal RNA". It matches the Rfam family "Bacterial small subunit ribosomal RNA", at positions 28 to 507 of the family's 1533-position model. The record is from RNAcentral.
GAUGAACGCUGGCGGCGUGCCUAAUACAUGCAAGUCGAGCGAACAGACGAGGCGCUUGCUCCUCUGACGUUAGCGGCGGACGGGAGAGUAACACGUGGAAAACCUACCUAUAUGACUGGGAUAACUUCGGGAAACCGGAGCUAAUACCGGAUAAUAUAUUGAACCGCAUGGUUCAAUAGUGAAAGACGGUUUUGCUGUCACUUAUAGAUGGAUCCGCGCCGCAUUAGCUAGUUGGUAAGGUAACGGCUUACCAAGGCAACGAUGCGUAGCCGACCUGAGAGAGUGGUCGGCCACACUGGAGCUGGGACGCGGACCAGACUCCUACGGGAGGGAGCAGUAGGGAAUCUUCCGCAGUGGGCGAAAGCUUGACGGAGCAGCGCCGCGUGAGUGAUGGAGGUCUUCGGAUCGUAAAACUCUGUUAUUGGGUGAAAACAGAUGUGUAAGUAACUGUGCACGUCUUGACGGUACCUAAUCAGAAAGCCACGGCUAACUACGUG